Molecule: long non-coding RNA, 2484 nt
Filed under: Androctonus crassicauda
Lineage: Eukaryota; Metazoa; Arthropoda; Arachnida; Scorpiones; Buthidae
Source: RNAcentral
ACGAAAAUUAAACUCAAUAGCAAAAUGAAAUGUUGAAAGAUAAUAAUAUUUAAAAUUUGUAAUUUAUUGACAUAUAUUAUUUCUAAUGCGCUUCUAGUUUUUGAUCUGCCAUGAGAAAUAAGAAAAAAUAAACUUGAAAAAUCUUCCUCUUAAGUUCUGUUUCUCGCUUGCGACUAUGGACAACGGAAUUGUUGACGGAAUGUAACAAUUCCGUUGACGUCAUUCUCGCCGUCGAAAUCGACCGAAAUGCGGAAAUUUGAAGUUUUGUUGUACCACUUUGAAGAAACUUCAUUUCAUCGAGAGAACUGGAACAGCUGGAACUUAUUCCAGGUCUCUCAAUCUUUCAUUUUACAUCAUUUUCCAAAUUUACUAAGCGAUGGGACUGUUUCAAAGCUGCGAACUAUCAUAUUCUUUGGCGAUAUUUUUUGAAAAGUUCUUUGUAAAACGUGUAGUUAUUUAACAGCAGCACUAAUGUUGGGACUUUGGCAAUCUAUGGAGCUAAUUAUGGAUAAUAAAAUUUUAAAGAACAAUUUCUAGUAAGCCCGCCCAAUUUGCCAAAUUGGGUAGUCUGUAAGAAUCUUUUCUAAAACGCAUAAUUAUGCAUCAUUAACGAUUGAUGUUUUAAAAUUCUAAUAAUAGGCCCGCUCACUUGAAAUCUGAUGAUUUCACAGAAAUAUACUUGCUUGUUAAUAGAAGUCAGAUUGAAAAAUAAUCGCAAACAGAGAUCACCUAGAAAAACAUUGACAUGAUUCAGAAUAUUGUAUAAAAACAACAACGAACAUCGAAAAAGUUCUUUCUAAAGUUUAUAUCGAUUAAUUAUCACUUGGAUAUGAAAUUGCUUGAAUAUAUUGCCUUUACAAUAUGGCUAAAUGACGUUGAAACUUUUAAAUGAAAACUUAAUCUAUCAAUACACACUGAUUUCUCCAGGAAUUUCCACAAAAUAGAUUCACGAUAGAUGAUAAUGCAAAUGGAAAGGACUUGAAAAAAUUCUCACGUAAAAUCAAUAAAUCGUUAACCUUAGUUAGGCCUAUAUUUUUUUUUUUAGAAGUUAUCACCUUCAUAAUUUUCACUAGGCAUUGUUAUAUAGGGAAGACUAUCAUCGAAUUGCUGUAUUGCAUGCCAGUGGGGCGUAGUCUAAAAAUUUGAACAAAUUUAUGUCCAUAUUUUCAACAUUACAGUGAAGCAGUUCGAAUUCGGUCAGAUUAGAUUUUAAAAUGUCGACGAAUUUCACAAAGGAUAUUUUUGACAAUGGCUACUUCAAAGUCCGCUAGGAAUUGACUAUUAUCUAUAAUGAGAUUAAUCGAAAGGUUGAAAAAUGACAUGAACGUUGAUUUUGGCCGAAAAAUUUAGAGAUAUGAGAUCGAAUUCAAUUAAGAUUCAUGUUAUUGCCACAAAGAAUAAAUCAAAGAGAUCGUUUGUUCAUUAAAAAUCUUUAAUAUCAUCAUCAUGAUUACGAAAAUCUCAAAACGAUAUUUUAUUGAUGGAAUAGCUGCAUCCGCCGUUAAUAAGCGUGAUAAAACAGUUGCUUACCAAGGCGGAUUCAGUUUCGGCUUCCACACUUCUAGUUUUUCGGGAAGAAUCCAAUCGGCCUGUUGAAUUCAAUCCUUUAAUCUCUGGUUGAUCUCAUCAUGUACUGGCCAGCCUAUGAUACGUUCUGAAAAUGGCCGCCGCCAGGUACAGAAUAUUCCAAGUGUGAUAUAGCAGCUUAAAUUAAUCUAAUCUGGAGGCCUGGCCCACCGAUUUCCCGUUUUCCACAAUCCAAUUGACCCCUCCACGGGUGGGCAACCUGUGAAAGAGCUUAUUUCGCUCCGUCACUUAGCAUCUUUACAGAAUGGAAUGUGGUGUAAUCUGUUGACAAAAAAAAAUAUCUAACCUAGAGUAGCUCCAGCAAGUUUAUUAAUUUUUAUUAUUUGAAAAUAGUAGUAAGUUUUUAAUAAAUCCAAUCAAUUAGAUGGUCGCCUAAAAAUCUUCCAUUUCCCUCGAUAAUUCUUGAUCGAUUCAGUCUCCAAAUUUCCAAAUUUUUCCACGGAUUCGAGGAUUCGAGUAAAAAUAUAAUUAACAUACACAUUUAUGGUAUUGUAUAUAAAUUUUAUAUGGCAGAAAAAUUAUAAAAAGGAAUUUAAUUAAUAAAAAUAUUCGAUCCACAUAAAAAAUGAAAAAAACUUUUAUACACUUAGUAUAUAUUUUUACUGCUUUUAUAUGUAUAAAUACAGUAAUCUUAAAUAGAACCGGAAACGUAUACUCAAUUCAGCGUAAUGGUAAUGCAAUAAUAAUUUUAUCGCUGAUAUCAAAAACUUAUUUUACACAAAUCUUUUUUUCGACGCUGCUGAUUAUCCAUACGAAUGAAAUCGCAUUCGUAUAUUUUUCGUAAUGAGUAAUUUCUUGGAAGAGCUUUUUCUAUUUCAGUCUCGAAUGUGGUGGAAAAUGUACAAUGUGAUUCACAGUUUACACCUCCAAAUAUGUGCUAAUGUAAUAGUAUAUACC